UGCAAGUCGACGCGAAGGAGAGCUUGCUCUCCAAGUAGAGUGGCGAACGGGCGAGGAAUGCGUUUCUAACGUGCCCCAAGGUCGAGGACAGCCCGGGGAAACCCGGAAUAAUACUCGAUGAUCCCAUGACACCUAAAGGAGUUGUGGGCAAAGGCUUGCCGCCUUGGGAUCGGGGAACGUCCUAUCAGGUUGUUGGUGAGGUAACGGCUCACCAAGCCAAAGACGGGUAGCGGGUGUGAGAGCAUGACCCGCCGCAUCGGGACUGAGACACUGCCCGGACUCCUACGGGAGGCUGCAGUAACGAAUAUUCCGCAAUGCGCGAAAGCGUGACGGAGCAAUGCCGCGUGCAGGAUGAAGCCCUUUGGGGUGUAAACUGCUGUCAGGGUGCAGGAACACAAUGACCACACCCAAAGGAAGGGCCGGCUAACUUCGUGCCAGCAGCCGCGGUAAUACGAAGGGCCCAAGCGUUGCGCGGAUUUACUAGGGCUUAAAGGGUGCGUAGGCGGGCCCGUAAGUACCAUGUGAAAGCCCUCGGCUCAACCGAGGAAUUGCAUGGUAGACUGCGGGCCUUGAGCUCGGUAGAGGCGGUUGGAACUCUAGGUGGAGCGGUGAAAUGCGUAGAUAUCUAGAGGAACGCCAAUGGUGAAGACAAGCCGCUGGGCCGAUGCUGACGCUGAGGCACGAAAGCGUGGGUAGCGAACGGGAUUAGAUACCCCGGUAGUCCACGCCCUAAACGAUGUGCACUAGGUUCGGGAGACACUGACGUCAUCCGGGUCUAAGCUAAAGUGUUUAGUGCACCGCC
This 802-nucleotide ribosomal RNA is filed under the name Planctomycetes bacterium SCGC AAA001-J07. Its description in RNAcentral is "SSU rRNA". It matches the Rfam family "Bacterial small subunit ribosomal RNA", at positions 56 to 873 of the family's 1533-position model. Lineage: Bacteria; Pseudomonadati; Planctomycetota. The record is from RNAcentral.